This 115-nucleotide ribosomal RNA is filed under the name Pteropus alecto (black flying fox). The record is from RNAcentral. Lineage: Eukaryota; Metazoa; Chordata; Mammalia; Chiroptera; Pteropodidae.
GGCUAAACUCAGGCCCUCUUUAAAAUACCAUCUUCUGAUCUCAGAAGCUAAGCAGGUUUGGGCCUGGUUAGUUCUUGGAAGGGAGACCACCUAGGAAGACCAGGUGCUGUAGGCA